RNAcentral lists this ribosomal RNA (429 nucleotides) under Bacillota bacterium. RNAcentral describes it as "Firmicutes bacterium partial 16S ribosomal RNA". It matches the Rfam family "Bacterial small subunit ribosomal RNA", at positions 355 to 776 of the family's 1533-position model. The record is from RNAcentral. Lineage: Bacteria; Bacillati; Bacillota.
UAGGGAAUCUUCGGCAAUGGACGGAAGUCUGACCGAGCAACGCCGCGUGAGUGAAGAAGGUUUUCGGAUCGUAAAGCUCUGUUGUUAGAGAAGAACGUUGGUAGGAGUGGAAAAUCUACCAAGUGACGGUAACUAACCAGAAAGGGACGGCUAACUACGUGCCAGCAGCCGCGGUAAUACGUAGGUCCCGAGCGUUGUCCGGAUUUAUUGGGCGUAAAGCGAGCGCAGGCGGUUCUUUAAGUCUGAAGUUAAAGGCAGUGGCUUAACCAUUGUACUCUUUGGUACCUGGAGCCCUUUAGUGCCGAACGGGCGAGUGGACUUCCAUGUGUCGCUGUGAAAUGCGUAGAUAUCUGGCGGAACCCCGGUGGCGCAAGCGGCUCUCUUGUCUGUAACUGACGCUGCGGCUCGCAAGCGUUGGGAGCAAACAGG